AUGCAUGUCUAAGUACAAGCCGAUUUAAGGCGAAACCGCGAAUGGCUCAUUAAAUCAGCUAUGAUUCAUUGGAUCUGUACCCACACUUACUUGGAUAACUGUGGUAAUUCUAGAGCUAAUACAUGCACCACGUCUCUGACCGCAAGGGAAGAGCGCUUUUAUUAGUUCAAAACCGGUCGGACUUCGGUCCGUCACCCCACCGUGUUGAAUCUGAAUAACUUGUCGCUGAGCGCACGGUCUCCGCACCGGCGCCGCCUCUUUCAAGUGUCUGCCUUAUCAGCUUUCGAUUGUAGGUUAUACGCCUACAAUGGCUAUAACGGGUAACGGGGAAUCAGGGUUCGAUUCCGGAGAGGGAGCCUGAGAAACGGCUACCACAUCUAAGGAAGGCAGCAGGCACGCAAAUUACCCACUCCCGGCACGGGGAGGUAGUGACGAAAAAUAACGAUGCGAGACUCAUCCGAGGCCUCGCAAUCGGAAUGAGUACACUUUAAAUCCUUUAACGAGGAUCUAUUGGAGGGCAAGUCUGGUGCCAGCAGCCGCGGUAAUUCCAGCUCCAAUAGCGUAUAUUAAAGUUGUUGCGGUUAAAAAGCUCGUAGUUGGAUUUCAGUUCUGGACUGACGGUUCACCGCCCGGUGCAUACUGUCACGCUCCGAACAGCCACAACAGCCCGCUGGCUCGCAC
This 681-nucleotide ribosomal RNA is filed under the name Cancer pagurus (edible crab). RNAcentral describes it as "SSU rRNA". It matches the Rfam family "Eukaryotic small subunit ribosomal RNA", at positions 51 to 718 of the family's 1831-position model. The record is from RNAcentral. Lineage: Eukaryota; Metazoa; Arthropoda; Malacostraca; Decapoda; Cancridae.